GAUGAACGCUGACAGAAUGCUUAACACAUGCAAGUCAUUGGCGAAGCUGCGCUUGCGCAGUCUAGCCAAGGCGGACGGGUGAGUAACGCGUAAGGAACUUGCCCUGCAGACAGGGAUAACAGACGGAAACGACUGAUAACACCUGGUAUUGUCAGGCUGGCGCAUGCCGGCCUGAUGAAAGGAGACGCUGCAGGAGAGCCUUGCGUCCUAUUAGCUAGCUGGUGGGGUAACGGCCCACCAAGGCGAUGAUAGGUAGCCGGCCUGAGAGGGUGAACGGCCACAAGACGACUGCGAUACGGCCCUGACUCCUACGGGAGGCAGCAGUGGGGAAUAUUGGACAAUGGCGGCAACUCUGAUACAGCAGUUCUGUGUGCACGAAGAAGUUUUUCGGAUUGUAAAGUGCUUUCAGCAGGGCAGAAGAAAGUGACGGUACCUGCAGAAGAAGCGACGGCUAAAUACGUG
Molecule: ribosomal RNA, 462 nt
Filed under: uncultured bacterium
Lineage: Bacteria
Description: partial 16S ribosomal RNA
Rfam family: Bacterial small subunit ribosomal RNA
Source: RNAcentral